Molecule: long non-coding RNA, 562 nt
Organism: Macadamia integrifolia
Lineage: Eukaryota; Viridiplantae; Streptophyta; Magnoliopsida; Proteales; Proteaceae
Exons: 2
Source: RefSeq, a predicted model, not a curated record
GAUUAGGGAAGAAAAACUAGAAACGAAGGGGGAGAAGAGAUUAGGGAAGAAAAAGGAAAAUAUUACCAGGGUUCUCUGUAGACACCUCCAUCAUCUCCCAUGGCCAUGUAUCAGUAGCAUCAAUCGAAAUCCUUCAGUUCAUGUAGUCGGAUUUGCUCCUGGUCCGGUACCUGCGACGGAUUGUGGUGGAGGCGAUCUACAGUGGAAUGAUUGUUCCCAACCGAAGAAGAAAAAAAUUGAAAGAGCAAGUCUUCUUGGAGAACAAUUCUCAGAUUUCCUCUUGAUAUCCUGCAAACGCGAUCUGUUUCAACGGGAUUAGGGUUGUUGCUGAUCGUCAACUGCUUUGGGGUCUUCUCUCCAUUUGUCCAUUUCAGGUUUGGAGACGGGAAUGAUAGAGAGGGGCUUCCAUCGGGUCAGAUCCGAAUCCAAAUGGUUCUAUGAGGGGGCAAAAGGGGUUUGAAUAAUCAAAGCAUCCACACCUUUGGAUUAUAAUGUACACGUGUCAUAUAAUUGUACACGUCUCAUGCACAGGGAGAGAAUUAGACAAGAAUUGGUAACUCAA